This 485-nucleotide ribosomal RNA is filed under the name uncultured Alphaproteobacteria bacterium. Its description in RNAcentral is "bacterial SSU rRNA". It matches the Rfam family "Bacterial small subunit ribosomal RNA", at positions 1 to 531 of the family's 1533-position model. Lineage: Bacteria; Pseudomonadati; Pseudomonadota; Alphaproteobacteria. The record is from RNAcentral.
GCCCUUAGAGUUUGAUCCUGGCUCAGAACGAACGCUGGCGGCAGGCCUAACACAUGCAAGUCGAGCGCUCUUCUUCGGAAGGGAGCGGCGGACGGGUUAGUAACGCGUGGGAAUAUACCCAGUUCUAAGGAAUAGCCUCUGGAAACGGAGAGUAAUACCUUAUACGCCCUUCGGGGGAAAGAUUUAUCGGAAUUGGAUUAGCCCGCGUUAGAUUAGAUAGUUGGUGGGGUAACGGCCUACCAAGUCUACGAUCUAUAGCUGGUUUGAGAGGAUGAUCAGCAACACUGGGACUGAGACACGGCCCAGACUCCUACGGGAGGCAGCAGUGGGGAAUCUUAGACAAUGGGCGCAAGCCUGAUCUAGCCAUGCCGCGUGAGUGACGAAGGCCUUAGGGUCGUAAAGCUCUUUCGCCAGGGAUGAUAAUGACAGUACCUGGUAAAGAAACCCCGGCUAACUCCGUGCCAGCAGCCGCGGUAAUAAGGGCG